UGCCACACCUACCAACAAAUGCCGCUAAAUUACCUCCUUAUAUAUAUAUAUUUGGGGGCCAACAACCUGGAACUAAGUCGUAGAGAUUUAGAACCUAGCAUGCAAUUUACUCUACCACAGGACAAUGAAUUAUAUGUAUGUGAACCCCACAAAUGACUGUUCCCACAAGGAACUAUAUAAUGACAUGAGCAGUCUCUAGCAUGUGUUUUUCAUGUUUGUCGACAUGUGCAUGUAGAUUUAGC
Molecule: long non-coding RNA, 242 nt
Filed under: Elaeis guineensis (African oil palm)
Lineage: Eukaryota; Viridiplantae; Streptophyta; Magnoliopsida; Arecales; Arecaceae
Description: long non-coding RNA (EGUI_LNC022438)
Source: RNAcentral